Non-coding RNA from Pelobates cultripes (western spadefoot toad), 617 nucleotides. The record is from the annotation of a GenBank genome assembly. Lineage: Eukaryota; Metazoa; Chordata; Amphibia; Anura; Pelobatidae.
UAUAUCUGGGUAUACACCGUGGCGGUGUAGGUGGAAGUGGUGGCAAUGGAGGAGGAGGAGGUAGCCAACACUGAUUUAUUUUUUUUAUUUUUAUUUUUUAUUGGGGUAGCCCCCAAAAUAUUGGGACGUAUAAAAAAAGAAAAAAAAGAAGAAGUGCACUUAUGGCUGGGUGAGGCCAGACAAGUCUGGUGGGAUCCAUGCCUGGUUCAUUUUAAUAAAUGUGAGCUUGUCCACAUUGGCCGUGGACAGGCGGCUGCGCUUGUCUGUGAUAACCUCGUGCCGAUCGCAUGUCCCCGUGACGGCCAUAACGCAUUCAGAUGUCUGCCAUAUCAACUUUGGAUGCAAUUUUCCGCGCCUACCAUGGUGACCAUGAGUAACUGGGAAUCAGGGUUCGAUUCCAGAGAGAGAGCCUAAGAAACAGCUACCACAUGCAAGGAAGGCAGCAGGCGCGCAAAUUGCCCACUCCCGACGCGGGGAGGUAGUGACGACAAAUAACAAUACACUACUCUUCCGAGGCCCUGUAAUUGUAAUGAGUCCACUUUAAAUCCUUUAACUUGGAUCAAUUGGAGGGCAAGUCUGGCGCAGAGCGACUGACCUGUGCGUGCUGCAGCUGAAAC